This 371-nucleotide ribosomal RNA is filed under the name uncultured bacterium. RNAcentral's name for it is "bacterial SSU rRNA". It matches the Rfam family "Bacterial small subunit ribosomal RNA", at positions 528 to 896 of the family's 1533-position model. The record is from RNAcentral.
GGGGGAGCAAGCGUUGUUCGGAUUUACUGGGCGUAAAGGGCGCGUAGGCGGCAGCACAAGUCAGUUGUGAAAUCUCCGGGCUUAACCCGGAGCGGCCAAGUGAUACUGCGUGGCUAGAGUGCGGAAGGGGCAACUGGAAUUCUCGGUGUAGCGGUGAAAUGCGUAGAUAUCGAGAGGAACACCUGCGGCGAAGGCGGGUUGCUGGGCUGACACUGACGCUGAGGCGCGAAAGCCAGGGGAGCGAACGGGAUUAGAUACCCCGGUAGUCCUGGCCUUAAACGAUGGAUGCUUGGUGUCUGGAGUUACAUAGUCUCCGGGUGCCGCAGCUAACGCGUUAAGCAUCCCGCCUGGGGAGUACGGUCGCAAGACUG